AUUGAACGCUGGCGGAAUGCUUUACACAUGCAAGUCGAACGGUAGAGGGGGCAACCCCUUGAGAGUGGCGAACGGGUGAGUAAUAUAUCGGAACGUGCCCAGUCGUGGGGAUAACGUAGCGAAAGUUACGCUAAUACCGCAUACGAUCUAAGGAUGAAAGCGGGGGAUCGCAAGACCUCGCGCGAUUGGAGCGGCCGAUAUCAGAUUAGGUAGUUGGUGGGGUAAAGGCUCACCAAGCCAACGAUCUGUAGCUGGUCUGAGAGGACGACCAGCCACACUGGAACUGAGACACGGUCCAGACUCCUACGGGAGGCAGCAGUGGGGAAUUUUGGACAAUGGACGCAAGUCUGAUCCAGCCAUUCCGCGUGCAGGAUGAAGGCCCUCGGGUUGUAAACUGCUUUGUACGGAACGAAAGGUUCUCUUAAUACGAGGAGCUCAUGACGGUACCGUAAGAAUAAGCACCGGCUAACUACGUGCCAGCAGCCGCGGUAAUGUGACU
RNAcentral lists this ribosomal RNA (499 nucleotides) under uncultured bacterium. RNAcentral describes it as "bacterial SSU rRNA". It matches the Rfam family "Bacterial small subunit ribosomal RNA", at positions 30 to 528 of the family's 1533-position model. The record is from RNAcentral.